CACGCCCUAAACGAUGGAUGCUAAGUGUCGGGGUAACCCGGUGCUUUAAGCUAACGCAUUAAGCAUCCCGCCUGAGAAGUACGGUCGCAAGAUUAAAACUCAAAUGAAUAGACGGGGACCCACACAAGCAGUGGAUCAUGUUGUUUAAUUCGACAAUAAACGAGAAACCUCACCCAGGCUUGACAUCGAAGGAAUCUGCCAGAAACGGCGGAGUACCCGCAAGGGACCCGAAGACAGGUGC
Molecule: ribosomal RNA, 241 nt
Filed under: uncultured bacterium
Lineage: Bacteria
Description: partial 16S ribosomal RNA
Rfam family: Bacterial small subunit ribosomal RNA
Source: RNAcentral